Homo sapiens (human) is the source of this 686-nucleotide long non-coding RNA. RefSeq lists it as uncharacterized. The record is from RefSeq and is a predicted model, not a curated record. Lineage: Eukaryota; Metazoa; Chordata; Mammalia; Primates; Hominidae. The transcript has 3 exons.
GGGGCCUAUUGGGAUGUGUUUAGGUCAUGAGGCUGGAGCCCUCUAGCGGAAUACAUUAAUGCCACUAUAAACAGGAAUUACAGGGCUGAGAUCUCUCUCCUGCUCCUCUGACAUGUUAAGACAUGGCCUUCCUUCCUUUGAAGAACUCAACGCUCCAGGCAUCAUCUUGAAAGCGGAGAAAGCAGACCAUGUGGUUGAUCUUCAGUUAUCCUGAGUCAGCAGGUGGGCCAUUUACAUCACCACGACAGUGUCCACAGGAGUUCCAGUUCCCUAAAUUCUCACCAAGACUGGUCAUCCUCUGUUGGAAAAAAACAUUCUAACAGGCAUCAGGGAUUUCUUGACAAUGGCAAUGAUGUGACGCCAUCCAGCAUCUAUUUGUGAGAACUCUAUUUGACAAAUCAUCACUGUGGGUGUGAACAUAAUGGAGACUUUCAUAGGAUGCAAUGGUUAAUAUUCAACAUUAGUCAAAAUUUACUCUAGUCCUACCCUUGGAGCUCUACUGGGUUGGAAAAAUAUUUUAGAUAAGGACAAUCAUUUCAUAGAGUUUUAAAAAUAAAGGCUAAAAUAAAUUUUCUGUAGCAAGAGUAUGAACUAUAUGUAGCCAGCAUACCCUUUUUUAGUGGCAUAUAACAAAAAUUAUUUAAAUGUAUUUAAUUUAAAUAAUUGUAUAAAUAUGCAUAUAUAAU